GCGCCCGUAGCUCAGCUGGAUAGAGCGUCUGCCUCCGGAGCAGAAGGCCAGAGGUUCGAAUCCUCUCGGGCGUA
This 74-nucleotide transfer RNA is filed under the name Bacteroidota bacterium. RNAcentral describes it as "Bacteroidetes bacterium tRNA-Arg". It matches the Rfam family "tRNA". From Rfam's summary of the family: Transfer RNA (tRNA) molecules are approximately 80 nucleotides in length. Their secondary structure includes four short double-helical elements and three loops (D, anti-codon, and T loops). Lineage: Bacteria; Pseudomonadati; Bacteroidota. RNAcentral also lists the same sequence under 3 other names. The record is from RNAcentral.